GGCCUACCAUGGUCGUAACGGGUAACGGAGAAUUAGGGUUCGAUUCCGGAGAGGGAGCCUGAGAAAUGGCUACCACUUCUAAGGAAGGCAGCAGGCGCGCAAAUUACCCAAUCCCGACACGGGGAGGUAGUGACAAUAAAUAACAAUACAUGCGCUCGACAAGAGUCGUGUAAUUGGAAUGAGUACAAUUUAAACCCCUUAACGAGUAACAAUUGGAGGGCAAGUCUGGUGCCAGCAGCCGCGGUAAUUCCAGCUCCAAUAGCGUAUAUUAAAGUUGUUGCAGUUAAAAAGCUCGUAGUUGAACUUCGGGAUUUAUUCAUUGGUCAGGCUUAACUGUCUGUACUGGUGUAUUGAAUUCCUACCUUCUGAGGAAUCAUCAUGUCAUUAACUUGGUGUGGUGGGGAAUCAGGACUGUUACUUUGAAAAAAUUAGAGUGUUUAAAGCAGGCUAACGUCUGAAUACAUUAGCAUGGAAUAAUAGAAUAGGACGGUUUGGUUCUAUUUUGUUGGUUUCUAGGAUCACCGUAAUGAUUAAUAGGGAUAGUUGGGGGCAUUAGUAUUCAAUUGUCAGAGGUGAAAUUCUUGGAUUUAUUGAAGACUAACUACUGCGAAAGCAUUUGCCAAGGAUGUUUUCAUUAAUCAAGAACGAAAGUUAGGGGAUCGAAGACGAUCAGAUACCGUCGUAGUCUUAACCAUAAACUAUGCCGACUAGGGAUCGGAUGAUGUUGAUUUUUUAAUGACUCAUUCGGCACCUUACG
Molecule: ribosomal RNA, 757 nt
Filed under: uncultured Glomeromycotina
Lineage: Eukaryota; Fungi; Glomeromycota
Description: SSU rRNA
Rfam family: Eukaryotic small subunit ribosomal RNA
Source: RNAcentral